UGGGUAAUCUACCUCUGGGUGGGGAAUAACCCUGGGAAACCGGGGCUAAUACCGCAUAACACUGAAGGGUCAAAGGCGCAAGUCGCCUGGAGAGGAGCCCGCGGCUGAUUAGCUAGUUGGUGGGGUAAAGGCUCACCAAGGCUUUGAUCGGUAGCCGGCCUGAGAGGGCACACGGCCACACUGGCACUGAAACACGGGCCAGACUCCUACGGGAGGCAG
RNAcentral lists this ribosomal RNA (219 nucleotides) under uncultured bacterium. RNAcentral's name for it is "partial 16S ribosomal RNA". It matches the Rfam family "Bacterial small subunit ribosomal RNA", at positions 118 to 351 of the family's 1533-position model. The record is from RNAcentral.